UCACCGGGUAGAAAUCAUCU
RNAcentral lists this microRNA (20 nucleotides) under Tribolium castaneum (red flour beetle). Its description in RNAcentral is "tca-miR-3791-3p". The record is from miRBase by way of RNAcentral. Lineage: Eukaryota; Metazoa; Arthropoda; Insecta; Coleoptera; Tenebrionidae.